UACGUAGGGGGCGAGCGUUGUCCGGAUUUAUUGGGCGUAAAGAGCUCGUAGGCGGUUUGGUAAGUCGGGUGUGAAAUCUCCACGCUCAACGUGGAGGGGCCACUCGAUACUGCCAUGACUCGAGUCCGGUAGAGGAGUGUGGAAUUCCCGGUGUAGCGGUGAAAUGCGCAGCUAUCGGGAGGAACACCCGUAGCGAAGGCGGCACUCUGGGCCGGAACUGACGCUGAGGAGCGAAAGCAUGGGGAGCGAACAGG
This 254-nucleotide ribosomal RNA is filed under the name uncultured bacterium. Its description in RNAcentral is "partial 16S ribosomal RNA". It matches the Rfam family "Bacterial small subunit ribosomal RNA", at positions 524 to 776 of the family's 1533-position model. The record is from RNAcentral.